This 206-nucleotide long non-coding RNA is filed under the name Elaeis guineensis (African oil palm). RNAcentral describes it as "long non-coding RNA (EGUI_LNC047093)". The record is from RNAcentral. Lineage: Eukaryota; Viridiplantae; Streptophyta; Magnoliopsida; Arecales; Arecaceae.
CGUCAUCAUUAAAGAUUGAGAGAAUUUAUGAUUUAUUGUAGUAUAUUUUGAAAAAAAUUAUAUUGAUAAAUAUAUCUUAAUAUUAUUAAUUUAGUUAUAUUUAAAAAAAUUAUUUAUGCUUGAUCUUAUUGAAGAUUUGAUAACUUACUGUGUCUGUAAAGCACAUAAUCUCUCUUCUAUUCUUUUACAUACAGAAAAAUAUAUAA